GCAGGUAACAGGUAACAAUCAAGCAAAUAAGAAAAUUAGAACAGCCUACUAAGCAACCAUGAAUGCUUGAAUCCAGGUCUAUAGGUCUAUGAAGGUUUGAAUCCAGGUCUGUAGGUCUAUGAAGGUUUGAAUCCAGGUCUGUAGGUCUAUGAAGGUUUGAAUCCAGGUCUGUAGGUCUAUGAAUGUUUGAAUCCAGUUCUAUAGGACUAUAGGUCUACGAAUGUUUGACUCCAGGUCUGUAGGUCUAUGAAUGCUUUAAUCCAGUUCUAUAGGUCUGUAGGUCUAUGAAUGCUUGAAUCCAGGUCUAAAGGUCUAUAUGUCACAACUGCAUGGUUGAGCCCUAAUAAGGGCACGACAUCACUACAUUUCCUCUUUUGCCAUCCAUGUUCUCUGUUUUUCAGCACCUGGUACAAAGUGGUUGACAACAACUAUUCUUGGUGAGCCAUCUGAAACUUUUAAAAUAUGUAGCUGUUACUCCAUGUUGGCCCAUGGUCUUUUCAACUGAUAACCACAGUUAAAAGAAUACUGUAAAAGGAGUUAUCUUCUAUACAUUUAAUGAAGAGAUUACUAUUGGUCAGCCU
Long non-coding RNA from Clupea harengus (Atlantic herring), 581 nucleotides. The record is from Ensembl. NCBI's taxonomy places the organism in Eukaryota, Metazoa, Chordata, Actinopteri, Clupeiformes, Clupeidae.